Molecule: long non-coding RNA, 2456 nt
Filed under: Phoenix dactylifera (date palm)
Lineage: Eukaryota; Viridiplantae; Streptophyta; Magnoliopsida; Arecales; Arecaceae
Description: long non-coding RNA (PDAC_LNC006418)
Source: RNAcentral
GGUUUUAAUUAAUUAUUGACCAAUUAAAAAUAAGGUGAGUGAUUAACUAAACCUACUGCAAAUGAAUUAGUUAGAUCACAAGAUGUAAUGAGUGAAGAGAGUGAAAGAGACAAGGUGCAAUACAACACAGAGAGAUUUAUAGUGGCUCGGAGCCAACUCUUGCUCCUACGUCCACUCCCCAAGCGGCACUUGGGAGUUCACUAUAAUUCCUAGGAUUACAGCCGGUUGUUUUACAAGCUCACAACCCAACUUGUUGUUUUCACGAGGUCACAACGAACUCGGUCGGUUUUGACAGGCUCACCGGCUAGAAUCACUCAAUUGUUUUUCCGGGUUCACAAUCAAAUCCAGUUGAUUUUUUCGGGUUCACCAACCACAACUUUAUACCGUUGGUUUUAUCUUUGGCUCACCAACAAACCUUACAACCCUUGAUUCAAUCAGGAGAUUGAAUCAAGUAUACAAAAUAAGAGUUUAAAGUUCACAAGAAGAAGCUUCUAAAAAAGCAAGUGUGAGACAAUAUAAACAAAGUUGAGUUAGAAGCCCUCAAACAGAUUUUAGAUGAGGAAGUGGGGGCUUCUCGAUUUCUGAGUCUCCUCUUGAAUGUGCCGAAGGAUGGAGGACAGUAGUAGAGGCUUGAAUGCGAAGGAAGCAUUUUUUGGUUUGAGUUGAAUGCACUUCUUCCUUCUUUUUCUUGGAUUCACUCUAUAGAAGCUCUUGCUGGUUGAAAUGCUUUAAUGCUCAAAUGGAAUAGCUCUCUUGUUGUCUACUACUGUUCACUCUGGCUAUUUAAGUGAUUCCUUUUGAAAAGUAGCCCUUAGAGAGUGAUUUGGAGCCGUUCUGUCCCGUCUGCACAUCCUAACAAUGCAUCCGUUGGGAUCGGAGUCGACUCAUGCGAUCUGGAGUCGACUCGGCUGUUACUGGAGUCGACUCGCGUUUUACUGGAGACGAUUCGCCCGCUGUUUCAGAUUUGAAUUAAAGUGCAUGCCUCGUCCUGGGGUCGACUCGGACCAAACUGGAGUCGACUUGUCAACAGCUGGAGACGACUCGGGCACUUGGGGGUCGGCUCGUUCUCAGGGUUCUAGAAACUCAACUUUCUGUUUUUCUUCCUCGACUCGACUUGGGUUUACUUGGAGUCGACUCGGCUGACUUGAGAGGUGACUCGAGAUCUUCGGGAGACGUCUCAUUCUCAGAGACCGCAAAAACUGAUUCUCUGUCUUUUGAGCUGUUCUGCAUCGAAGUCGACUCGGGCCUUGUUGGAGUCGACUCGUCUAAUCUUGAAGGUUGACUCUGAAACACUUGGAGUCGACUCGUUCACAGGGUCUCCGAAACUGAGUCUAUGCCUUUCAGACAGCUUUCAUCUGGGAGUCGACUCGGACAAACUUGGAAUCGACUCGCCAAGCAUCGGAGUCGACUCACAACCUUCUGGAGUCGACUCGGUAACAGGGUCUAAAAUCCAUCGUUCUGUCUUUCUGUUUGUUACCUUUUGGAGUCGACUCGGGACCAUCUGGAGUCGACUCGCCAAGCAUCGGAGUCGACUUGAAAUCUUUUGAAGUCGACUCGCUAACAGGGUCUAAAAUUCAUCAUUCUGUCUUUCUGUCUGUUAUCAGUUGGAGUCGACUCGGAGAGUUCCGGAGUCGACUCGAGCUUGUGCCAGAAACUUUAAGUGUCCCGAAGUCGACUCGCAAAGUUCCAGAGUCGACUCGUGAUGCAGACUUUGGUUCAAAUUGAGUCAAAUACUUAGCCAAAAUACUUUGAACCAAAGCUCGAGGCAUUUAAACAGAAAUUCAUAAUGAUUUGCCUGAAACACUAGAUUGAAUUCAUUAGAACAACAUAAGACAUACUCCAAUGCUUUGAGCUCAUCAAAAUCAAUUAGGGAAUACUCAAUCACUCCACAGAGGCCAAUAGAAGAGAUUGUCUGUAAUUUAGAUUGACAUUUUCUGCAUCGAUUUUUUACAUAUGAUAUUGAUAAAAAUUGAGUGUCAUUUGCAAAAACAAUCUCUAAAUAUUAUUGCAGGCAAUUAUUUUGAAACAUUGAGUGAGUGGUUUUGGUUGUGCAGGGACCUGAGCAAAAUGCACUGGGGAACUUGCUUGUGCUAUUCCUUCUAGGAGGUAUAUUCUCAGGAGUUGCACUUGAUUGGUUGUGGCUCAUAGGCAAAGGCUGGUGAUGCUGCAGCUCUUAGAACACUUGAAAUCUGGGGAUGACAGCUUAUUUAUUUGUAUAGAAUUAAUACAGUCUUUUUUAUGUUAUUUUUAUGAGUCCGACAUUAAAUUUCUGUAGUUCAAUGUCACAUGUGACUGGUGCAUGAUUUUUAUUUCUUCCUCAAAACAUGAAACAAAAAUGGAAGUGUUCUUUUGAGAUUCAUUGAGUUAAAAUUUUCAUGCUGUGUUUGACUUCAUAGCAUAUAUAGCAUUACUUCUUGUUUGAAUUUCUGCAGCUUGAUCGAACACACUAAAGAAAC